This 1236-nucleotide long non-coding RNA is filed under the name Anas platyrhynchos platyrhynchos (common mallard). RNAcentral's name for it is "lncRNA (ENSAPLG00000022839.1)". The record is from RNAcentral. Lineage: Eukaryota; Metazoa; Chordata; Aves; Anseriformes; Anatidae.
UUUCGGACAUCGUUGCUCUGGGGAAAAGAGGAUGGGGAUGGCUUCCUCCAUGUAUAAUACACAUUUGAGGAAGGGUCAGGCUUCUCCAGCACCAUAAAUUUUCUGGCGUGUUGUUCUGAGACUCUAGGACUGCUGAAUUUUUUAAGGAGAUAUGGGAUUUACCUGGAACAAGACAUCCACCCAAAAUGGGAUUGGAAUUCACAUUUUUUGAGGGCAUAUUGAAGAGAUACAGCAUGAGAACACGCAGAUGUAAUGAUGCCUGCUUAGCAGUGAGUGUUUGGUCAGGGAGGAUAUGGGAGCAGGGAAAUCAGGAAGACCCUGGACACUGCUCCUCUCAGCAAAUCCCUCUCUGCCCCUUGGUACAGGUGGCAGCAUGAGCUCCCAGGACAUCUGCAGCUCCCCAGGGGAUCUCCGAGCUCCUGCUCUCCAAAUGAACUCAACUUCUGCUCAGCCAGGUACCACAGUUGUGCUCCAGUGUAUUCUCCCUGUGGUGUCACAUGCAAGACGAAUCAUCUUCUGCAAGGAUGGGAUGGAGCUGUACAGUCUGAAAGCCCAUCAAAGGCAGCUGAGCUACUCCUUGGUCCUGAACAUCACGUCAAGAAGCACAGGAAAAUACACAUGUGGGUACCAGGAGUGGAAUGAGAUGAAACACAAGAGGAGCUCUGCCCUCAGUGCUGGCCGCAUCCUGAAUGUCCCUGGCAAUGUGGUGAGUUCUCCAGCAAGUCCAUCACCCUCAGCUCCAAAUUCCCGGAUCCCACACACCCUCGCCACAGCCAUGGCGCUGGCAUUGGCGGCCGUUGGCCUCGUCGUCCUGGCUGCAGGCAGCUGGUUUGCCAUUAGGAAAGGUGCCUGCAGAGGGAGAUAUCCAAGGCAGCAGCACGUUGACAGCCCACAGAUGGAAACCACAGACAACGGCGAAGUCACAUACUCAACCAUCGCUCAUGUUCGACGGGACAGGCCUCGUCCUGUGCAGCACAUGAGCGACACCACGACGUAUGCCACGGUGACCCGAACUCAGACCCGAUAGCGCUGCCACAGGGCAAGGGCACAGGAGCCUUGACCACGGCUGCCUUUACUCUUUUGUAGGGGGCUCUUGAAGCCAUAUCAUGGGGCUGGGGGGUGCACUUUGGGGUUCUCUGGGGUUUUCUGUCACAGGAAAUGCUGUGUGUAUCUAGCCAAGAGGAUGAAGGACUCAUAUCUCAGUUUGCAAUAAAUUAAUACCUCUAAAAUAUAUCA